CUUGAAUUAUAAUUACCA
Molecule: small nuclear RNA, 18 nt
Filed under: Arabidopsis thaliana (thale cress)
Lineage: Eukaryota; Viridiplantae; Streptophyta; Magnoliopsida; Brassicales; Brassicaceae
Description: snRNA_16230
Source: RNAcentral